RNAcentral lists this ribosomal RNA (828 nucleotides) under uncultured bacterium. Its description in RNAcentral is "bacterial SSU rRNA". It matches the Rfam family "Bacterial small subunit ribosomal RNA", at positions 8 to 848 of the family's 1533-position model. The record is from RNAcentral.
AGAGUUUGAUCCUGGCUCAGAAUGAACGUUGGCGGCGUGGAUUAGGCAUGCAAGUCGAACGGGUUUGGUAGCAAUACUGAACCAGUGGCGUAAGGGUGAGUAAGGCGACGGCAACCAACCCCAUGGUUGGGCAUAGCCGCGGGAAACUGCGGGUAAUUCCCAGCGAUGUUCGUACCGGGCAUCCGGUGUGAACCAAAGUUCUGGCGCCGUGGGACGGGCCGUCGUGGUAUUAGGUAGUUGGCGGGGUAAUGGCCCACCAAGCCUCUGAUGCCUACCGGGCGUGCGAGCGUGGCCCGGCACACUGGGACUGAGACACUGCCCAGACUCCUACGGGAGGCUGCAGUCGAGAAUCUUCGGCAAUGGGCGCAAGCCUGACCGAGCGACGCCGCGUGGAGGAUGAAGGCCUUCGGGUUGUAAACUCCUGUCGAGGGGGAGGAAGGCGUAAGCUUGACCUAUCCCUGGAGGAAGCACGGGCUAAGUUCGUGCCAGCAGCCGCGGUAAGACGAACCGUGCGGACGUUAUUCGGAAUCACUGGGCUUAAAGCGCGUGUAGGCGGAUGGGGACGUCGGUAGCUGAAAUCCCCCGGCUCAACCGGGGAACUGGCGCCGAAACGCCCCGUCUGGAGGGACGUAGGGGGACCUGGAACUUCCGGUGGAGCGGUGAAAUGCGUUGAGAUCGGAAGGAACGCCCGUGGCGAAAGCGAGGUCCUGGACGUUUUCUGACGCUGAGACGCGAAAGCUAGGGUAGCGAACGGGAUUAGAUACCCCGGUAGUCCUAGCUGUAAACGAUGGGCACUGGGUAGGGGGCUCGCCGAUGGGCUCUCUGCCG